Molecule: unclassified non-coding RNA, 335 nt
Filed under: soil metagenome
Description: partial contains 5.8S ribosomal RNA, internal transcribed spacer 2, and large subunit ribosomal RNA
Rfam family: 5.8S ribosomal RNA (bases 5-119)
Source: RNAcentral
GAUGAGAACGCAGCGAAAUGCGAUAAGUAAUGUGAAUUGCAGAAUUCAGUGAAUCAUCGAAUCUUUGAACGCACAUUGCGCCCGCCAGUAUUCUGGCGGGCAUGCCUGUUCGAGCGUCAUUUCAACCAUCAAGCCCCCGGCUUGUGUUGGGGACCUGCGGCUGCCGCAGGCCCUGAAAAGCAGUGGCGGGCUCGCUGUCACACCGAGCGUAGUAGAUUUCAUCUCGCUCAGGGCGUGCUGCGGGUUCCGGCCGUUAAACCACCUUCAUAACCCAAGGUUGACCUCGGAUCAGGUAGGAAGACCCGCUGAACUUAAGCAUAUCAAUAAGCGGAGGA